CUAUAACACCUUAACCAGUCUUCAUACUUCUACUCCUGACCUAAGCAGAGGUGUCCAAUCUUUUGGCUUCCCUGGGCCACAUUGGAAGAAGAAUUGUCUUGGGCCACACUUAAGAAGAAUUGUCUUGGGCCACACAUAAAAUAAAUUAACACUAAUGACAGCAGAUGAGCUAAAAAAAAAUCACAAAAAAUCAUAAUAUUUUAAGAAAGUUUACAAAUUUGUGUUGGGCCACAUUCAAAGCCAUCCUGAGCCACAUGUGGCCCAUGGGCUAUGGGUUGGACAAGCUUGUUCUAUAGUGUAUUCUCCAGAAAUUCACCACAGUGGUCGUUUAAAACUACAAUUUCAUGUCAUUUCCCUGCUUAAAAACCCUUCAGUGUUUCCAGUCACCUUCAGAAUAAAAUCCAAACUUAGCUCAGCCUGUAAUGUCCUCCCUGAUCAGGGCUGCUUCCCUAAAUGACCUCAUCUUUCCUGUCUUACUCCUCUCUAGUCAGCCCUGCCUUCUUGCUGAACCCUCCAACAUCACUUUUUUCCCACCUGAGUACCUGUGCCCUUGCUGUUCUCUCUGCCUGGGCUGUCCUUCCUCUAGAUCUUCCCAAGGUUGUCUUUCUUCAUUUGGGUCUCUGUCAAAUGUCACUGGCCUUGUAAGACAUUGCCUAAGCACCUAAUCUAACACUUCAAACACCUCACAUUGCCAUGAUCUUUCC
Molecule: long non-coding RNA, 704 nt
Filed under: Homo sapiens (human)
Lineage: Eukaryota; Metazoa; Chordata; Mammalia; Primates; Hominidae
Description: long non-coding RNA NONHSAT232256
Source: RNAcentral